RNAcentral lists this ribosomal RNA (460 nucleotides) under uncultured bacterium. RNAcentral describes it as "partial 16S ribosomal RNA". It matches the Rfam family "Bacterial small subunit ribosomal RNA", at positions 338 to 795 of the family's 1533-position model. The record is from RNAcentral.
CCUACGGGAGGCAGCAGUGAGGAAUAUUGAUCAAUGGCCGGAAGGCUGAACCAGCCAUGCCGCGUGAAGGUCAGUGCCCUAUGGGCGUUAAACCUCUUUUGUGCGGGAGCAAUAAUGGUCACGUGUGGCCAGACGAGCGUACCUUACGAAUAAGCAUCGGCUAACUCCGUUCCAGCAGCCGCGGUAAUACGGGGGAUGCAAGCGUUAUCCGGAUUUAUUGGGUUUAAAGGGUGCGUAGGCUGGGAGGUAAGUCAGCUGUUAAAUGCCCCCGCUCAACGGGGUGAAGUGCCAUUGAUACUGCCUUGCUGGAAUGCGGAUGCCGUGGGAGGAAUGUGUGGUGUAGCGGUGAAAUGCAUAGAUAUCACACAGAACACCGAUUGCGAAGGCAUCUCACGAAUCCGCGAUUGACGCUGAUGCACGAAAGCGUGGGUAUCAAACAGGAUUAGAUACCCUAGUAGUC